GUGAGGUAACGGCUCACCAAGGCAACGACGGGUAGCUGGUCUGAGAGGACGAUCAGCCACACUGGGACUGAGACACGGCCCAGACUCCUACGGGAGGCAGCAGCAGGGAAUAUUGCACAAUGGGCGCAAGCCUGAUGCAGCGACGCCGCGUGAGGGAUGACGGCCCUCGGGUUGUAAACCUCUUUCAGGAGGGACGAAGCGAAAGUGACGGUACCUCCAGAAGAAGCCCCGGCCAACUACGUGCCAGCAGCCGCGGUAAUACGUAGGGGGCGAGCGUUGUCCGGAUUCAUUGGGCGUAAAGAGCUCGUAGGCGGCUCAGCAAGUCGGCCGUGAAAGCCCGAGGCUCAACCUCGGGAGGCCGGUCGAAACUGCUGUGGCUAGGGUCCGGUAGAGGAGAGUGGAAUUCCCGGUGUAGCGGUGAAAUGCGCAGAUAUCGGGAGGAACACCAGUAGCGAAGGCGGCUCUCUGGGCCGGUACCGACGCUGAGGAGCGAAAGCUAGGGGAGCAAACAGGAUUAGAUACCCUGGUAGUCCUAGCCGUAAACGUUGGGCACUAGGUGUGGCGGAUUCAUUGACAUCUGCCGUGCCGCAGCUAACGCAUUAAGUG
RNAcentral lists this ribosomal RNA (606 nucleotides) under uncultured actinomycete. RNAcentral describes it as "bacterial SSU rRNA". It matches the Rfam family "Bacterial small subunit ribosomal RNA", at positions 252 to 866 of the family's 1533-position model. The record is from RNAcentral. Lineage: Bacteria; Bacillati; Actinomycetota; Actinomycetes; Actinomycetales.